AUUGAACGCUGGCGGCAUGCCUUACACAUGCAAAUCGAACGGCAGCACGGGUGCUUGCACCUGGUGGCGAGUGGCGAACGGGUGAGUAAUACAUCGGAACGUACCUUAUCGUGGGGGAUAACGCAGCGAAAGCUGUGCUAAUACCGCAUACGCCCUGAGGGGGAAAGCGGGGGAUCGAAAGACCUCGCGCGAUUAGAGCGGCCGAUGCCUGAUUAGCUUGUUGGUGGGGUAGAAGCCCACCAAGGCGACGAUCAGUAGCUGGUCUGAGAGGACGAUCAGCCACACUGGGACUGAGACACGGCCCAGACUCCUACGGGAGGCAGCAGUGGGGAAUUUGGACAAUGGGGGCAACCCUGAUCCAGCAAUGCCGCGUGAGUGAAGAAGGCCUUCGGGUUGUAAAGCUCUUUUGUCAGGGAAGAAACACCAGCUCUAACACAGUCCGGGAAUGACGGUACCUGAAGAAUAAGCACCGGCUAACUACGUGCCAGCCGCCGCGGUAA
Molecule: ribosomal RNA, 500 nt
Filed under: uncultured bacterium
Lineage: Bacteria
Description: partial 16S ribosomal RNA
Rfam family: Bacterial small subunit ribosomal RNA
Source: RNAcentral